GACGAACGCUGGCGGCGUGCUUAACACAUGCAAGUCGAACGGAAAGGCCCCUUUGGGGGUACUCGAGUGGCGAACGGGUGAGUAACACGUGAGUAACCUGCCCUUGACUUCGGGAUAACUUCAGGAAACUGGGGCUAAUACCGGAUAGGAAUCCUUUCUGCAUGGUGGGGGUUGGAAAGCUUCGGCGGUUUUGGAUGGACUCGCGGCUUAUCAGCUUGUUGGUGGGGUAGUGGCUUACCAAGGCUUUGACGGGUAGCCGGCCUGAGAGGGCGACCGGCCACAUUGGGACUGAGAUACGGCCCAGACUCCUACGGGAGGCAGCAGUGGGGAAGAUUGCACAAUGGGCGGAAGCCUGAUGCAGCAACGCCGCGUGCGGGAUGACGGCCUUCGGGUUGUAAAACGCUUUCAGCAGGGGCGAAGCUUGUGGUGACGGUACCUGCAGAAGAAGCACCGGCUAACUACGUG
This 465-nucleotide ribosomal RNA is filed under the name uncultured bacterium. RNAcentral's name for it is "partial 16S ribosomal RNA". It matches the Rfam family "Bacterial small subunit ribosomal RNA", at positions 28 to 507 of the family's 1533-position model. The record is from RNAcentral.